Molecule: ribosomal RNA, 276 nt
Filed under: Streptomyces albidoflavus
Lineage: Bacteria; Bacillati; Actinomycetota; Actinomycetes; Kitasatosporales; Streptomycetaceae
Description: partial 16S ribosomal RNA
Source: RNAcentral
UUCACGGAGAGUUUGAUCCUGGCUCAGGACGAACGCUGGCGGCGUGCUUAACACAUGCAAGUCGAACGAUGAACCGCUUUCGGGCGGGGAUUAGUGGCGAACGGGUGAGUAACACGUGGGCAAUCUGCCCUGCACUCUGGGACAAGCCCUGGAAACGGGGUCUAAUACCGGAUAUGACCGYCUGCCGCAUGGUGGAUGGUGUAAAGCUYCGGCGGUGCAGGAUGAGCCCGCGGCCUAUCAGCUUGUUGGUGAGGUAGUGGCUCCGUGAAUGUGUAC